ACGAAGGGUGCAAGCGUUACUCGGAAUUACUGGGCGUAAAGGGUGCGUAGGUGGUUUUUUAAGUCUGCUGUGAAAUCCCCGGGCUCAACCUGGGAAUGGCAGUGGAUACUGGAAAGCUGGAGUGCGGUAGAGGGUAGUGGAAUUCCCGGUGUAGCAGUGAAAUGCGUAGAGAUCGGGAGGAACACCAGUGGCGAAGGCGAUCAUCUGGGGCUGUUCUGACGCUGAGGAGCGAAAGCUAGGGGAGCAAACGGGA
Molecule: ribosomal RNA, 253 nt
Filed under: uncultured prokaryote
Description: partial 16S ribosomal RNA
Rfam family: Bacterial small subunit ribosomal RNA
Source: RNAcentral